GUUAUCGUUCCUCCUGUUGAGUCUCUGGCCAUCAGAAGUAGACCGUCUCCAGCCACAACCAGGGAUAACAGUGGGACUGAGCAAAGGCCCGACUAUGGAAACAACUUUUUUUCAUUAUCAUUGCAUUAUUCACUCCAUAAACUGUGUAGCAGCCCCUGCUUGGGCCCCGGGAUGUGCAAUAAUCCCACUGAGCAGUAUCAUCGGUCACAGGCAAACAUCAGCUGGUGGAUCAAUGACGUUCCUAAAGGCAUCAUCAGACAGUCCCUGGGUCAGGUACCAAUCAUGGUGCAGUCCAACCUGUUACCUAAGAGCUCAUAGAACACCACGAAGAAGCUGAGGAAACUCUAUCCAGAGCUAAGUUAAGGCACUGUAGAUGUGACCAUUUCCAGUGUCUUCAUCUUGAACAGCAGCACUGAAUCCUCAUCUGCUUCUUCUUCACCUUCUUCAUCCUCCUCAUCCUCCACUUUAACCAUCAACCUCUGCUCCUCUCCCAAACUGAGAUCCCCUCUACACUGGGUCCUUUCAGUCAAAACCCAGGUUCAAGCCCACCCUUAACAAUUCCCUGACCUUUGACCUCUCUAUUGCAGGGAGGAAAGAGAAAACAGAACUCCUCUAAGGGGAUCAAUAAAGUAAUUUUAAAAAAAUAUGUUUUAUUUGACAUUAGAACAAAGCAUGUAGUGUACAGAUGCUCCGUUUGUGAAGAACUGCCUAAAUGUGUUUUAUUUCUGUUUUAUGAAAAGCAAGACUGUAACUGUAAAGUGUUGUCAACAGGUGUGUGAAAUGAAUUUGUGAACUGUUGAAAUAAAGUGGAGUAGACUGUACAAAGUGUGUUUUCAAAUUAUUAUUAGCAUUGAAAGGCCCCAUGAAAUGAAACUGACUUGACCCGAUAAGCAACAUAUUUGAAUAUAUACUGAUAAAAAUGAUGAAGACCAAAAAUAUUCAUAUUUCUUACACCGGUCUUGUAAACAUACUGUGUCUGAUGUUUUAUUACCAAUGAAAAGUCAGAGCACAGUCGGUGGCAACAAGGAAGUCACCGCAUACUGACACAGGUCUUUAUCUCAUCACUGCCAAUAAAUUAAAUAAAUAACAAUAAUAUAUUACUGACAUUUGUGUUGUAUUUUGGUAAAGAAUUUUUUUUUUUUUGGUUAAACAAAACCUAUAUACAUAUACCCCCAUAAGGAGCUGUUCAUACAAAGACUGAAACCAAACUUGUAGCAGACACUAAGACAGAGGACGCAGUCAGCUGGACAGCUCUUCACAGUCAGAUUUGCAGCUGAUCUCAGGUCUUUUGCAGUCUGACUGGAUGGAAUUUGAAAUCACAGAGGUGAGAUGUGGCUGCAAAAACAGAGGUGUACAAAAUGGACCCCGAGGAUUCCAUGGUUGCUAUGUUUUGUCUCCAGGUGCAUCAUUUAUAUAUGAUCAUCAUUCAAAAACAAACAAAACCUCUAAUGGUCAAGAAGUGUUCACAAGUUUCACUCGACGAUUUCUUCCAAGUUACCGCUUCUACUGAGGACUCCUUCCAUCCCGACAGGAACUAAAGCCUCACUGAGACUGACGAAAGCGACACAGCAGACUUCCAUCAUGGAAAAUUGUGAUGUGCCCAUCCACCUGAGAGACCAUGAAUACUGGAGGAGGAGAAUCUCUGCACGCCAGGCAGACGGAGCAGGGAAGCCUGGAGCCUGCAGCAAGUGUCCGUGCUGCAGGAAGGAGCAGGUUAGACAUCUGGAUUGAAACAUUAAAGAACAGGCCAAACGCUUCACUCAUUCACUGCUCAACAGUUCUGUGUAGAAAAUAAAUCUAGUUCACUUUUAUUGUCCUUGAAGUGAAAUUCGUCUUGCAUCCAGGUGUAAAGUAGUCCUCUGUAUGCAGAUGUUUCUCCUGUCAGAUUGUAAAAGUAUGCUGUUAAUAAGUACGAAGUCAGCCAGAGCCUGACAGCCUCUCGUGUGCUGCUGACCUUCCCCAGGUGCUGAAUUCAACCCCGAGGCCCCAGCACUCUGCCGCUACCGCCAACCUUCCCCAGAAGAGGAAGCGGAGCUCCGUGCCCCGUCCUCCAAAACCUUCUGCUGAACAUCCAGGGAAGAUGAGUUUGGUCCAGAGGCCUCUGUCCGCCAUCCCACCUGCUGACCUGUCUGUGGUCUCCAACGUGCCCCCCAGCCCCCGGCCCCCCAGCCCCCGGCCCUCCAGCGCUACUAGCCAGCUGAUGUAAACCACGAUGGCCCUCUGACAAUACACAACCGCUCAGUGGAAGAGUACCAGAAAAUCUACCAUGAAGUGGUAGAUGAUAUGCUGAGAUACAAGAGUGGCCGGCUUCGUCCGUACACUUUAGAGCUGGGACGACGUAUCAAGCAGAAGCUGUGGGAAAGACUGGAUCGUCCCACAAUGACGUCAUCAGUCAAUGAGGACGGACUUGUGCACGUGGAUGUAUCCUACGGGGUUGGUUCUUUGGGAGAACCAAGUCCUGGCCAGCCACCGAACAAAAGAGCUAAGAACUCCAACUAACAUGGAGGCAGCAUCUGCACUCCAAACAAUGAAACACGUGAUAAUAGUUGGAUAAGAUCAAAUACACCUGUAAAUAUUAUAGUAGUUUUAAGUCAUCGUAAUAAUUCACUCAACUCAAAGCAUCACAUGGUUAAACAGAACUGGGUUUUCCCACGUCAGUGAAUGCAGCCUCUGUCAGUAAACUCUUUAAUCCAGCCUCGGCCUCAACCACCACCUGAAUCAUCUGCAGGACACAAACAGCCUCCACCUACAGUCUCCUCCAUCCACGUCCACAUCUAAACUCUGCAUUCGUAGUACAUCCGCCAUCUGCUGCUCUAGCUUCCACCUGCAGACAGCAGACAGUUGUGAACACACACUCCACCUUCAACCUAUUCAGGCCACAAUCUAUCAAGAUGCAGCCCCAAGCUCCACCUAUACACCCUGGUCCACUUGUAAUUCUACCAACCUCCAUCUUCAGCCUCUGCCAGCAACCUGCAGUUUCCUCCACCUGCAGAUUCUUGCAGACAGGAAAGGGCUGGAACAUCCACCUGCAACACCUGCCAGAGUCCUGCAGCUUCCUCCACAUGUGGAUUCUUGCAGAAAGCUGCAACCAAUUCCUCCGCUUACAGCUGCAGCCCAAACCUCCACCUUCAGCCUCUGCCAGCAUCCUGCAGCUUCUUCCACCUGCAGAUUCUGUCAGAUAGCUGAGAUCUGAACCUCCACCUACAGUCUCUGCCAGCAACCUACACUGCCUCAUCCACCUGCACAUUCGUGCAGACAGCUGCAGCCCAAAGCUCCACCUACAGCCACUGCAACAAACCUGUAGCUUCCUCCAACUCCAGUUCCUGGCAGACAGCUGAGGCCUCAACCUCCACCUAUAGCCUCUGCCAGCAUCCUGUAUCUUCCUCCACCUUCAGAUUCUGGCAGACAGCAAAGGGCUGGAACCUCUACCUGCAGCAUCUGCCAGCGUCCUGUAUCUUCCUCCACCUUCAGAUUCUGGCAGACAUCGGCCUGAGCCUCCACCUACAGCCUCUGCCAGCAUCCUGAAGCUUCUUCCACCUGCAGAUUCUGGCAGACAGCUGAGAUUCUGGCAGACAGCAAAGGGCUGGAACCUCCACCUACAGCCUCUGCCAGCAUCCUGAAGCUUCCUCCACCUGCAGACAGCAGACUGUUGUGAACACACACUCCACCUUCAACCUAUUCAGGCCACAAUCUGCAGCCUAUAACAUCCACAUGCAGCCCCAAGCUCCACCUAUACACCUUGGUCCACUUGUAAUUCUACCAACAUCCACCUUCAGCCUCUGCCAGCAACCUGCACCUUUUCCUCCACCUGCAGAUCCAGGCAGACAGCUGCAGCCCAAACCUCCACCUUCAGCCUCCGCAAGCAAUGAUGCUUCCUCCACCUGCAGAUUCUUGCAGACAGCUGAGGCCUGAACCUCCACCUACAGCUGCUGCCAACAACCUACACCUCCUCUUCCACCUGUGGAUUCUUGCAGAUACAGUAGCUGCAACCGAUUUGUCUGCCUACAGGCGCUUCCACCUUCUGCCUGCAGCUUCUGCCAGAAACCUGCAGCUUCUUCCACCUGCAGAUUCUGGCAGAUAGCUGAGGUCCGAACCUCCACCUACAGUUUCUGCUAGCAACCUACACCGCCUCAUCCACCUGCAGAUUCUGAAGUGCAAACCUCCACCUCCAUCCUUUGCCAACAACCUGCACUGCUAUCUUCAUCUAUAUAUUCUUGCGGACAGCUGCAGCCCGAAGCUCCACCUACAGCCUCUGCCAGCAACCUGCACCUUCUCCUCCACCUGCAUAUUCUAGCAGAAAGCUUAGGUCUGUACCCCCACCUCAUACCUCUGCCAGCAACAUGCAGCCACCGCGCCCACCUGCAAACAGCUGAAGUCCAUCCCUCCAUCUACAUCCUCUGCUAGCCAGUUGAAGGUCCUCGCUCCACCUAAAACCUCUGCCACCUAUAACUUCUUCCAACCACCGACAGAUCCAACCUCUUCCUCCAGCCCACAGUAACCAUCGGCUCCUCCAGCCACUGCCUGCAGCCUUCACCAGUAACCUGCAACCCCUAGCCUCCACCUGCAGUUUUUGGCAUACAGCUGUUCUUUUACUCUCCUUCAUCUACUAGCAGUAAGCUGCAGCAUCAAUCUCCACCUGCAGCUUCUGCCUUAGCCUCCACAUCCACCUACAGCAUCCACUACAGCAGUCAGCUGUGGUCUCAGCCUUCACCUGCUGCUUCUGGUAGCCAGCUGCAUCCCCUGCCACUGCCUUCAGCCACUGUCAACCAGUUCCAGCCCCACACUCCACCUGCAGAUUCUGACAGACACCUGCAGCUCCACUCUCUGACACUCAAAUGCAGCGCCAUUCUUUUUCUACAGCCUUUGGCAGUCACCAUUUGUCUCUUUCUGAAAGCUUCAAACAGAUGACAACCAGAUGCAACACCAAAUCCCACCUAGAGUCUUCGGGAUCCGAACACACACAAGCUGCAGCCCCAAUUUAAUCAGCAUCAUCAGACAGUCCCUGGGUCAGGUACCAAUCAUGGUGAAUUCCAACCUGUGUAACCUGCAUGGCAUGUCCCCCAAAGAGCUCGUAGAACACCAUGAAGAAACUGAGGAAAAUAUAUCCAGAGCUAAGUCAAGGUACUGUGGAUGUGACCAUUUCCAGUGUCUUCACCUUGAACAGCAGCACUGAAUCCUCAUCUGCUUCUUCUUCAUCUUCUUCAUCCUCCUCAUCCUCCACUUUAACCAUCAACCUCUGCUCCUCUCCCAAACUGAGAGUGCCCCUACACGUCAGCCCUUUACCUCAAAACCCAGCGUUAAGCCCAGCCCAACAAUUCCCUGACCUUUGACCUCUCUAUUGCAGGGAGGAAAGAGAAAACAGAACUCCUUUAAGGGGAUAAAUAAAGAAUGCAGCUAAGUACAUUUACUCAAGUAGGCCUACUGAAGUACAAAACUGAGGUCCUUGCACUUUACUUGAGUAUUUCCAUUUUCUGCAACUUCAUACUUCAACUCCACUACAUAUCACAGGCAACAUUGUACUUUUUACUCCACUGCAUGUUUCUGACAGCUUUGUGACGCCCAAGUGUUCCCGCUGGUUUUACGCACGGACCACGGGCAUCUUUCUGUUGGUGAUCAACUACAUACAUUACUGAAUACACAAAACGACGUGAGAGCGACGAACCACUGAGGGAUAUAACACUUCGCUGUCCUUAAACAGGCCUGCUCACAUGAAGAAAAUGCAGCACUUCUUCCCGUGUGCUGCGGGGCAGCGGGCAGUGUGCUGUGCGUUUAGACCCAGGACCACCCUGAGCAGGGUCCGGUGCGCCACUGGCUCCUCUGUCAGUUUCCGCACGGAGGCCAAAGUCUGCUUCUCUUUAAUGCGCCACAGACGGUUUCUAGCGUGGAGAACUGAACAAGCAUAUUGCUGCCUUUCUGAUCCUCAAGUCUCAAAGUCUAGCAAACUUUGAGAAGCCCGCUCUCUAAUACAACACGUGCACACUGCACACACUGACGGGCAGUGCUGGAAGAAGUACUCGCGUCCUUUGCUUAAGUAAAAGUAGCAAUAGCGCAAUGUAAAACAACUCUGUUACAUGUAGAAGUCCUGCGUUCACAAUUCUACACGAGUAGAAGUCUGUUAUAAAAGUCUGGCAGACACUUGACAUGGUAACUGUGAAGAUUAGGACAAAUCUGGGAAAGACAGCUGAAUUCAAACCCAGAUGAGGAUAUAUGGAAGAACACAGUAGCUGCCUGGUGGUCAGUUACACAGUGGAUACACACUACAGACGCAUACACAGGUAUUACUACACACCAGUUAAACAUGAAAUCUGAAAACUGAUUCCGAACAUGUGAAAACAUCGUAAGUCGCAUAGACAGCAAAAUGUGUUUUUCCCUGUUUACAUGACGGGGCACAAAAAGAGUAACUCAUGAUGAACCUAAGUAUUCAGUCGUUGGUAGUUUUGUGCCGCUCAGCAGCUGGUUCAGAGUUAAUCAGGAAGGACUCAUGAAGAAAGUGGCUGGUCUGACAUGGUGUUGUGUUUUCACUGCCAUACUUUGUGGAUCGUCAACUGAACUCUAAAACUUCAUUCUGCCGAAUCCAUUCAUUCGUGUAGAGAGAGCGGCAGUGCAGCCCAUCCUCUGAGGAGGAGUGGGCGUGUUCAUUCGCGCAGCGACAGCUUCAGGAAACCAGACAGAAGCAGACAGCACAGAGACUCGAACCGUACGGUGAUCUCAGCUCGUCGUCGACUGGUGGAAGCCUUCUGUGAGCCGUGCGUGAACGUAGCUGCUGCUGCUGCUGCUGCUGCUGUGUAAAAUGCGCACAGCACUUGGUGACGCGCGUCUCGAUCCUGCUGCUCUGUGAGGACUACAAGUAUUUAAUAAAGUCAGAGGAGAGAAAACUGCAAAUAAACAGUUGUGGGAAGCAAACCGAACAUGAGCACUGCAGUUUCUGCAAAAACACGGAUUAUAUUUAGUGACUAACUUGUUACAGGCUCUGUCUUACUCGCAUUAAAAUUAGUAUUUUUACGCGCAUUUUAAAUCUAAUAUUUCGCUCUGAAACAUAUCAGGCAUCGUACGUAUAUGUUCCGUCCGGAAUCCGUGCGGUCUGCUCUCCAGUUUCCCGAACCUGUCAGAAAUUAGCCCUUCCCAUUGCGCCUCCCUUGACAGUGAGAAUGGGUGGAGUGCGUCAGCCGAUCGAAAAUGUGUAGUUAAAGGUAUGAAGUGCAGCAGUUUGAUCGUCGUAUUGUCGAGCAACUCCGGAUCCCGAAUGAACACGGUCAUACACACGUUCCAACCUCGGUCGUUCGAAACUUCUCAGACUUCGGCAUCCAAACUAUGGAUGAUGUGAAGAGAAGUAUUGCUGCUGUGCUCCAGCGGACACUGCGGUGACAG
Long non-coding RNA from Siniperca chuatsi (mandarin fish), 7368 nucleotides. RefSeq lists it as uncharacterized. The record is from RefSeq and is a predicted model, not a curated record. NCBI's taxonomy places the organism in Eukaryota, Metazoa, Chordata, Actinopteri, Centrarchiformes, Sinipercidae. The transcript has 8 exons.